AUUGAACGCUGGCGGCAGGCCUAACACAUGCAAGUCGAACGGUAACAGGAAGCAGCUUGCUGCUUUGCUGACGAGUGGCGGACGGGUGAGUCAUGUCUGGGAAACUGCCCGAUGGAGGGGGAUAACUACUGGAAACGGUAGCUAAUACCGCAUAACGUCGCAAGCCCAAAGAGGGGGACCUUAGGGCCUCUUGCCAUCGGGUGUGCCCAGAUGGGAUUAGCUAGUAGGUGGGGUAACGGCUCACCUAGGCGACGAUCCCUAGCUGGUCUGAGAGGAUGACCAGCCACACUGGAACUGAGACACGGUCCAGACUCCUACGGGAGGCAGCAGUGGGGAAUAUUGCACAAUGGGCGCAAGCCUGAUGCAGCCAUGCCGCGUGUAUGAAGAAGGCCUUCGGGUUGUAAAGUACUUUCAGCGGGGAGGAAGGGAGUAAAGUUAAUACCUUGGCUCAUUGACGUUACCCGCAGAAGAAGCACCGGCUAACUCCGUG
This 490-nucleotide ribosomal RNA is filed under the name uncultured bacterium. RNAcentral describes it as "partial 16S ribosomal RNA". It matches the Rfam family "Bacterial small subunit ribosomal RNA", at positions 30 to 507 of the family's 1533-position model. The record is from RNAcentral.